RNAcentral lists this long non-coding RNA (473 nucleotides) under Ananas comosus (pineapple). Its description in RNAcentral is "long non-coding RNA (ACOM_LNC016948)". Lineage: Eukaryota; Viridiplantae; Streptophyta; Magnoliopsida; Poales; Bromeliaceae. The record is from RNAcentral.
GAUUAUCGGUUUAGUUUUAUCCCUACUAUUCUGUUGUUAUAGCUUAGUCAGUUUAUAUGGUUCAGUAUUUUUAUUACAUUGGAAUAUGUGGACUUUCAUGAAUGUAAUAAAAGAAUUUCUGGAUUUGGUAAAAUAAAAGGUUUUCUACCCCUCGUGGUAGCUUUUAUAAAAGAUAAAAGUUUUCGCGUAUGGAACAGUUUUUAAAAGGUUUUUCGUGGAGUUUUGUUUAAACAUCGAAUGUAAAACUACGGUGUGAAUGGUAAAUGUAUGAAUGUAUAGCUAUCUGUAUAUUCAUUUAGUUGUGGUUGUAUACUGUUUGUAUUUUUGUACUUGUGCGACGCCGUGCAAAUACAGGGGAGACUCUGUCCGUGUGAACAGUGGAUUCCCUGUAUUUGUGGCGGAUUUGACAUACUCUGGGGUCAGGUGUUUCAAAAAAAAAAAUUUUAGUCGUUUCCGCUGUUUUUCCAAACUAA